CCAUAUUUAGUGCUUCCUUCAGGAGCUCUUGUAAGGCAAGCCAGGUGAGAAAAUCUCUCAGCAUUUGCUUGUCUGUAAAGGAUUUUUUUUCACCUUUGCUUAUGAAACUUAGUUUGGCUGGAUAUGAAAUUCUGGGUUGAAAAUCAUUUCACACUGUGGGCUCUUAGAUGAUCUCAUAAUGUUAAUUACCUAGAAAGGCUGGAUGAAAUAAUUAUUUUCCUUCAAUGACUAAUGAUAGCUGGUGGAUUUUUAUCGCCUCCCCCAUGAUUUUUUCAGCAAGGAUUCAAAGAGGUUUUGUGCUCCAAAUCUCAGUAAUUUACCAAAAAAACCACAGUUUUUUUUCCCUCACUCUUUGGUCUGCAGGUUGACUGGGAGAGCAGCAAGUAGGUGCAUGUGAGUGAAACACUGACAUGGGGUGGGGCCAGCAAGGAACAGGUGGAAGAAGACGAAGACCCCAGAGGUGGGCAGGUGGUUUGUUUCUCCCAUCUGCCUAGCCAAACUGGUCAAAUUAAUGUGCAUCCUUUGAUUUGUCCAGCCCCUUCCCUGAGGCCUGCUCCAAGCCUCCAUUGUCUUUUGUCAAUAGGUACAGAGUGGUGGGUUAGAAAGAGGUUGGUAAAGGAGACUGCAGGUGGCCAUUUAUCCUGCUGAUUAAGAGAUCUCGACUGGUUUGAUGAAGAAGCACCAUUAAAAACAAUAGACUCAACUUCCAUUUC
RNAcentral lists this long non-coding RNA (713 nucleotides) under Homo sapiens (human). Its description in RNAcentral is "non-protein coding lnc-GPR82-3:2". The record is from RNAcentral. Lineage: Eukaryota; Metazoa; Chordata; Mammalia; Primates; Hominidae.